This 409-nucleotide ribosomal RNA is filed under the name uncultured bacterium. RNAcentral describes it as "partial 16S ribosomal RNA". It matches the Rfam family "Bacterial small subunit ribosomal RNA", at positions 355 to 755 of the family's 1533-position model. The record is from RNAcentral.
UGGGGAAUUUUGGAUCAAUGGGCGAAAGCCUGAUCCAGCAAUGCCGCGUGUGUGAAGAAGGCCUUCGGGUUGUAAAGCACUUUUGUCCGGAAAGAAAUCCUUGGCUCUAAUACAGUCGGGGGAGUGACGGUACCGGAAGAAUAAGCACCGGCUAACUACGUGCCAGCAGCCGCGGUAAUACGUAGGGUGCAAGCGUUAAUCGGAAUUACUGGGCGUAAAGCGUGCGCAGGCGGUUUGCUAAGACCGAUGUGAAAUCCCCGGGCGUCAACCUGGGAACUGCAUUGGUGACUGGCAGGCUAGAGUAUGGCAGAGGGGGUGAGAAUUCCACGUGUAGCAGUGAAAUGCGUAGAGAUGUGGAGGAAUACCGAUGGCGAAGGCAGCCCCUGGCAAGUACUGACGCUCAUGCACG